CCUACGGGUGGCAGCAGUGGGGAAUAUUGCACAAUGGGGGAAACCCUGAUGCAGCGACGCCGCGUGAGUGAAGAAGUACUUCGGUAUGUAAAGCUCUGUCCGCAGGGAAGAAAAUGACGGUACUUGAGGACGAAGCCCCGGCUAACUACGUGCCAGCAGCCGCGGGAAUACGUAGGGGGCUAGCGUUAUCCGGAUUUACUGGGGGUAAAGGGGGCGUAGACGGCAGUGUAAGUCUGGAGUGAAAGGCGUGGGCUCAACCCCUGGAAUGCUUUGGAAACUGUACGGCUUGAGUGCAGGAGAGGUAAGUGGAAUUCCUAGUGUAGCGGUGAAAUGCGUAGAUAUUAGGAGGAACACCAGUGGCGAAGGCGGCUUACUGGACUGUAACUGACGUUGAGGCUCGAAAGCGUGGGGAGCAAACAGGAUUAGAUACCCCGGUAGUC
This 440-nucleotide ribosomal RNA is filed under the name uncultured bacterium. RNAcentral's name for it is "partial 16S ribosomal RNA". It matches the Rfam family "Bacterial small subunit ribosomal RNA", at positions 338 to 795 of the family's 1533-position model. The record is from RNAcentral.